AAUAGAUACCCUGGUAGUCCACGCCGUAAACGUUGGGCGCUAGGUGUGGGGUUCUUCCACGGAUUCCGCGCCGUAGCUAACGCAUUAAGCGCCCCGCCUGGGGAGUACGGCCGCAAGGCUAAACUCAAAGGAAUUGACGGGGGCCCGCACAAGCGGCGGAGCAUGUUGCUUAAUUCGACGCAACGCGAAGAACCUUACCAAGGCUUGACAUCGCCGGAAAUCCAUCAGAGAUGGUGGGUCCUUUUUGGGCCGGUGACAGGUGGUGCAUGGCUGUCGUCAGCUCGUGUCGUGAGAUGUUGGGUUAAGUCCCGCAACGAGCGCAACCCUCGUUCCAUGUUGCCAGCAACACCUUCGGGUUGGUUGGGGACUCAUGGGAGACCGCCGGGGUCAACUCGGAGGAAGGUGGGGAUGACGUCAAGUCAUCAUGCCCCUUAUGUCUUGGGCUGCAAACAUGCUACAAUGGCCGGUACAGUGGGCUGCGAUACCGUGAGGUGGAGCGAAUCCCUUAAAGCCGGUCUCAGUUCGGAUCGAAGUCUGCAACUCGU
Molecule: ribosomal RNA, 545 nt
Filed under: uncultured bacterium
Lineage: Bacteria
Description: bacterial SSU rRNA
Rfam family: Bacterial small subunit ribosomal RNA
Source: RNAcentral